Molecule: unclassified non-coding RNA, 583 nt
Filed under: Erwinia pyrifoliae
Lineage: Bacteria; Pseudomonadati; Pseudomonadota; Gammaproteobacteria; Enterobacterales; Erwiniaceae
Description: 16S-23S ribosomal RNA intergenic spacer
Rfam family: tRNA (bases 302-374)
Source: RNAcentral
CCUGAAGAUACCUUCCGGCGCAGUGUCCACACAGAUUGUCUGAUAAAAAAGUAACGAGCAGAAAAACCUCUACAGGCUUGUAGCUCAGGUGGUUAGAGCGCACCCCUGAUAAGGGUGAGGUCGGUGGUUCAAGUCCACUCAGGCCUACCAAAUUUCUUCUCAUGCUGCGUUAUGCACUCGGUCGUUUACUGUAGUAAACUUCCCUCCCGCAUGCCUUGCCUGAAAAGAAAUUGCAUUUUCUCUUUAUAAAGAAAAUGCGACUCCUCAUGAGUGGUAGAAAAAGGUUUCUGUCAGACCGUAUGGGGCUAUAGCUCAGCUGGGAGAGCGCCUGCCUUGCACGCAGGAGGUCAGCGGUUCGAUCCCGCUUAGCUCCACCAUAUGGUUUUUCUGAAUUCAAUAUUUCAGAGUGUACUGGUUAACAGUAUGCUGCGAAGUAUUAUGCUCUUUAACAAUCCGGAACAAGCUGAAAAUUGAAACGACGUGUCGUGUUCAUUCUCCGUAAUAAGAAUGAAGUUAACGACAUGUUCGAGUCUCUCAAUGCCUGCAACUGACAGACGUCUUUCGGGACGCUUGUGGGUUGUGA